RNAcentral lists this small RNA (192 nucleotides) under Halopseudomonas aestusnigri. RNAcentral's name for it is "Pseudomonas aestusnigri Pseudomonas sRNA P16". It matches the Rfam family "RgsA sRNA". Rfam says of the family: P16 sRNA appears to be conserved across several Pseudomonas species and Azotobacter vinelandii. In these species it is consistently located downstream of a predicted TatD deoxyribonuclease gene. P16 has a predicted Rho independent terminator at the 3' end but the function of P16 is unknown. The record is from RNAcentral. Lineage: Bacteria; Pseudomonadati; Pseudomonadota; Gammaproteobacteria; Pseudomonadales; Pseudomonadaceae.
AAAAUACGCAGAGCGUAUUCCAAAUCAGUUUAUAAACGCGGGAAAUGAAGCUGGAAAGCAGGGCAAUUUCGACAAUACUGAAGUUAUCAGGAACGACAUACCCCCCAAGUGUUGCUCCUGUGCUGGCAGGCACUGCCCUGCCUCUGUAUCACUCCUAAUGGUCUUAACCCGAAUUCCUCCCCCAGAAUUCGG